UUCUCUUUCAACUGUCUUCUCAGCUCUAAGACUUCUCCUCCAAGGUGGUCCUCUGAUUUCUGUCUCAACUCCAUCUCUUUCUUCAACUGAUUGUCUUUAUCUUUGAGUUGCUUCUCCAAGUCUCUGAUCUUCUUCUGAUAACUGGCUUCUGCUCUCUGCAGCCUCAGACAUUCCCUAUGAUCCGCAUCUAACAUAGACUCUAUCUCCU
Molecule: long non-coding RNA, 208 nt
Filed under: Lathyrus oleraceus (garden pea)
Lineage: Eukaryota; Viridiplantae; Streptophyta; Magnoliopsida; Fabales; Fabaceae
Description: Pisum sativum (pea) long non-coding RNA (PSAT_LNC016718)
Source: RNAcentral